UACUCCUACGGGAGGCAGCAGUAGGGAAUCUUCCACAAUGGACGAAAGUCUGAUGGAGCAAUGCCGCGUGAGUGAAGAAGGGUUUCGGCUCGUAAAACUCUGUUGUUAAAGAAGAACACCUUUGAGAGUAACUGUUCAAGGGUUGACGGUAUUUAACCAGAAAGCCACGGCUAACUACGUGCCAGCAGCCGCGGUAAUA
Molecule: ribosomal RNA, 199 nt
Filed under: uncultured bacterium
Lineage: Bacteria
Also listed under: 1 other name
Description: partial 16S ribosomal RNA
Rfam family: Bacterial small subunit ribosomal RNA
Source: RNAcentral